RNAcentral lists this ribosomal RNA (1054 nucleotides) under Bifidobacterium animalis subsp. lactis. RNAcentral describes it as "bacterial SSU rRNA". It matches the Rfam family "Bacterial small subunit ribosomal RNA", at positions 219 to 1272 of the family's 1533-position model. Lineage: Bacteria; Bacillati; Actinomycetota; Actinomycetes; Bifidobacteriales; Bifidobacteriaceae. The record is from RNAcentral.
CAUGGGAUGGGGUCGCGUCCUAUCAGCUUGUUGGCGGGGUGAUGGCCCACCAAGGCGUUGACGGGUAGCCGGCCUGAGAGGGUGACCGGCCACAUUGGGACUGAGAUACGGCCCAGACUCCUACGGGAGGCAGCAGUGGGGAAUAUUGCACAAUGGGCGCAAGCCUGAUGCAGCGACGCCGCGUGCGGGAUGGAGGCCUUCGGGUUGUAAACCGCUUUUGUUCAAGGGCAAGGCACGGUUUCGGCCGUGUUGAGUGGAUUGUUCGAAUAAGCACCGGCUAACUACGUGCCAGCAGCCGCGGUAAUACGUAGGGUGCGAGCGUUAUCCGGAUUUAUUGGGCGUAAAGGGCUCGUAGGCGGUUCGUCGCGUCCGGUGUGAAAGUCCAUCGCCUAACGGUGGAUCUGCGCCGGGUACGGGCGGGCUGGAGUGCGGUAGGGGAGACUGGAAUUCCCGGUGUAACGGUGGAAUGUGUAGAUAUCGGGAAGAACACCAAUGGCGAAGGCAGGUCUCUGGGCCGUCACUGACGCUGAGGAGCGAAAGCGUGGGGAGCGAACAGGAUUAGAUACCCUGGUAGUCCACGCCGUAAACGGUGGAUGCUGGAUGUGGGGCCCUUUCCACGGGUCCCGUGUCGGAGCCAACGCGAUAAGCAUCCCGCCUGGAGAGUACGGCCGCAACGCUAACUCUCAUAGAAUGUGACGGGGGCCCGCACAAGCGGCGGAGCAUGCGGAUUAAUUCGAUGCAACGCGAAGAACCUUACCUGGGCUUGACAUGUGCCGGAUCGCCGUGGAGACACGGUUUCCCUUCGGGGCCGGUUCACAGGUGGUGCAUGGUCGUCGUCAGCUCGUGUCGUGAGAUGUUGGGUUAAGUCCCGCAACGAGCGCAACCCUCGCCGCAUGUUGCCAGCGGGUGAUGCCGGGAACUCAUGUGGGACCGCCGGGGUCAACUCGGAGGAAGGUGGGGAUGACGUCAGAUCAUCAUGCCCCUUACGUCCAGGGCUUCACGCAUGCUACAAUGGCCGGUACAACGCGGUGCGACACGGUGACGUGGGGCGGAU